GUCUGGUCCAAAUGCAGUGGUAUUUACAACUAAUUGAUUACAACCAGUUACAGAUUUCUUUGCUCCUUCUCCACUUCCACUACUUUACUUGACUAGCCUUAG
This is an unclassified non-coding RNA of Colobus angolensis palliatus, 102 nucleotides long. It matches the Rfam family "Y RNA". From Rfam's summary of the family: Y RNAs are components of the Ro ribonucleoprotein particle (Ro RNP), in association with Ro60 and La proteins. The Y RNAs and Ro60 and La proteins are well conserved, but the function of the Ro RNP is not known. In humans the RNA component can be one of four small RNAs -- hY1, hY3, hY4 and hY5. The record is from Ensembl. Lineage: Eukaryota; Metazoa; Chordata; Mammalia; Primates; Cercopithecidae.